This 259-nucleotide ribosomal RNA is filed under the name uncultured prokaryote. RNAcentral's name for it is "partial 16S ribosomal RNA". It matches the Rfam family "Bacterial small subunit ribosomal RNA", at positions 524 to 782 of the family's 1533-position model. The record is from RNAcentral.
UACGGAGGAUGCGAGCGUUAUCCGGAUUUAUUGGGUUUAAAGGGUGCGUAGGCGGAUUAAUAAGUCAGUGGUGAAAUCCUGCAGCUUAACUGUGGAACUGCCAUUGAUACUGUUAGUCUUGAGUAUGGUCAAGGUAGGCGGAAUGUGUAAUGUAGCGGUGAAAUGCUUAGAUAUUACACAGAACACCGAUUGCGAAGGCAGCUUACUGGGCCGUUACUGACGCUGAUGCACGAAAGCGUGGGGAUCGAACAGGAUUAGA